AUUCAACGCUGGCGGCAUGCCUUACACAUGCAAGUCGAACGGCAGCACGGGAGCAAUCCUGGUGGCGAGUGGCGAACGGGUGAGUAAAGUAUCGGAACGUGCCAGUCGUGGGGGGUAACGUAGCGAAAGUUACGCUAAUACCGCAUACGAUCUAUGGAUGAAAGCGGGGGAUCGCAAGACCUCGCGCGAUUGGAGCGGCCGAUAUCAGAUUAGGUAGUUGGUGGGGUAAAGGCUCACCAAGCCGACGAUCUGUAGCUGGUCUGAGAGGACGACCAGCCACACUGGGACUGAGACACGGCCCAGACUCCUACGGGAGGCAGCAGUGGGGAAUUUUGGACAAUGGGCGAAAGCCUGAUCCAGCCAUGCCGCGUGCAGGAUGAAGGCCUUCGGGUUGUAAACUGCUUUUGUACGGAACGAAAAGGUUUGGGCUAAUAAGCUGAGCUCAUGACGGUACCGUAAGAAUAAGCACCGGCUAACUACGUGCCAGCAGCCGCGGUAA
Molecule: ribosomal RNA, 499 nt
Filed under: uncultured bacterium
Lineage: Bacteria
Description: partial 16S ribosomal RNA
Rfam family: Bacterial small subunit ribosomal RNA
Source: RNAcentral